CGAUUUUAAUCGGACAACAUCAAAACGUUUUGAUAUUAUACGAUUUUUAUCGGUGGAAUUUUAAGUAUAACCAAUCAGAUUUCAUGCUGUGAUCACGUGCUUGUAUUUAUUUGGCAACAUGGCGGCUACAGUUCAGGGAGCAUAUUUUUUUCGUAAUCGUGUGCGGAGUAUACCGAUGUAUAUCGGUAUGUCAAACGAUUUUUAUCGGCCGACCAAAAUCGCGUCGUGUGCG
This is a non-coding RNA of Paramuricea clavata, 232 nucleotides long. Lineage: Eukaryota; Metazoa; Cnidaria; Anthozoa; Malacalcyonacea; Plexauridae. The record is from the annotation of a GenBank genome assembly.